UACGUAGGUGGCAAGCGUUGUCCGGAAUUAUUGGGCGUAAAGCGCGCGCAGGCGGUCCUUUAAGUCUGAUGUGAAAGCCCACGGCUCAACCGUGGAGGGUCAUUGGAAACUGGGGGACUUGAGUACAGAAGAGAAGAGUGGAAUUCAACGUGUAGCGGUGAAAUGCGUAGAGAUGUGGAGGAACACCAGUGGCGAAGGCGACUCUUUGGUCUGUAACUGACGCUGAGGCGCGAAAGCGUGGGGAGCAAACAGG
Molecule: ribosomal RNA, 253 nt
Filed under: uncultured bacterium
Lineage: Bacteria
Description: partial 16S ribosomal RNA
Rfam family: Bacterial small subunit ribosomal RNA
Source: RNAcentral